CCUACGGGAGGCAGCAGUGAGGAAUAUUGGUCAAUGGGCGCGAGCCUGAACCAGCCAAGUAGCGUGAAGGAUGACUGCCCUACGGGUUGUAAACUUCUUUUAUAAAGGAAUAAAGUGAGGCACGUGUGCCUUUUUGUAUGUACUUUAUGAAUAAGGAUCGGCUAACUCCGUGCCAGCAGCCGCGGUAAUACGGAGGAUCCGAGCGUUAUCCGGAUUUAUUGGGUUUAAAGGGAGCGUAGAUGGGUUGUUAAGUCAGUGGUAAAAAUGCGGUGCUCAACGCCGUCGAGCCGUUGAAACUGGCGUUCUUGAGUGGGCGAGAAGUAUGCGGAAUGCGUGGUGUAGCGGUGAAAUGCAUAGAUAUCACGCAGAACUCCGAUUGCGAAGGCAGCAUACCGGCGCCCUACUGACGCUGAGGCACGAAAGCGUGGGUAUCGAACAGGAUUAGAUACCCUAGUAGUC
Molecule: ribosomal RNA, 459 nt
Filed under: uncultured bacterium
Lineage: Bacteria
Description: partial 16S ribosomal RNA
Rfam family: Bacterial small subunit ribosomal RNA
Source: RNAcentral